RNAcentral lists this transfer RNA (62 nucleotides) under Formica rufibarbis. Its description in RNAcentral is "tRNA-Thr". The record is from RNAcentral. RNAcentral also lists the same sequence under 4 other names. Lineage: Eukaryota; Metazoa; Arthropoda; Insecta; Hymenoptera; Formicidae.
ACUUAUAUAGUUUAACUAAAAUAUUAAUUUUGUAAAUUAAAGAUAUACCUUAUUUAUAAGUA